Molecule: ribosomal RNA, 360 nt
Filed under: uncultured Sporidiobolales
Lineage: Eukaryota; Fungi; Basidiomycota; Microbotryomycetes; Sporidiobolales
Description: eukaryotic LSU rRNA
Rfam family: 5.8S ribosomal RNA (bases 1-98)
Source: RNAcentral
GAUAAGUAAUGUGAAUUGCAGAAUUCAGUGAAUCAUCGAAUCUUUGAACGCACCUUGCGCUCCAUGGUAUUCCGUGGAGCAUGCCUGUUUGAGUGUCAUGAAUACUUCAACCCUCCUCUUUCUUAAUGAUUGAAGAGGUGUUUGGUUUCUGAGCGCUGCUGGCCUUUAGGGUCUAGCUCGUUCGUAAUGCAUUAGCAUCCGCAAUCGAACUUCGGAUUGACUUGGCGUAAUAGACUAUUCGCUGAGGAAUUCUAGUCUUCGGACUAGAGCCGGGUUGGGUUAAAGGAAGCUUCUAAUCAGAAUGUCUACAUUUUAAGAUUAGAUCUCAAAUCAGGUAGGACUACCCGCUGAACUUAAGCA